Molecule: long non-coding RNA, 826 nt
Organism: Strigops habroptila (Kakapo)
Lineage: Eukaryota; Metazoa; Chordata; Aves; Psittaciformes; Psittacidae
Exons: 3
Source: RefSeq, a predicted model, not a curated record
GACGGCGCGGCGCAUCGGGAGGACAUCGGGGCUGGGGACGGGUCCGUCGGGCACCGGGCGGGGCGGGGGCUCGCACGGCUGCUCCUCCUCCCGUGGCCGCCAGAGGGCGCCGCUCCCGCGCGGUGGCGGCUCCGCGUCCCUCGGCACGGCCGAGCCGCGGCACCGUGAGGGUGCCAGACAUGUGCCGGAGCAGAAGCUUGAAGGUGCACCAUUACCCACCCCUGGCCUGGGGAAGCUGUAGGAAAGCCCUGCUGUGUUCUGGUGACACAAUCCUGAGGCCUAACUCACGCAGUCCUCACCAGGCCCUGCUAGGAGCGGAAACUCGCUCCCCCUGUGCUUCAUGCCCUGCCCAGCCUGCUGCUUCAUCUCCAGCUGCAGAGGAAGGUGUAUUUUGUCUACGAUCUGCUGUCUUGGGACUUGGUGAUUUUAGGAAGUUUCUUUCCAGUUCCAAGUUAGAACAACGAUUCUGAUGAGUUAACGUAUAGAAAGUGGUAUCCCCUUCCUGCCUGAUGCUUUCUUGGUCAAGCCCAGGCUGCAUUCACUGCUGCUCAGGUGGUACCUGGGUCUUGCUGGUUUUGCAGAUCUUCCCUGGGGUGACAGUGCUACCACUGGCCACGCUGGAAUGGACGAGUAGGGUUGAAGAAAUGUAAUUACUUUGUGAGUAACAUGUUGAGGUUUUGGUUUCUUUUCCUGAAUACCAAUUGGAUUAAAUGGGGGAGGGAAGAAGAGACGUUUAUUUGUUUGUUUGUUUUCUAAUGAGUUUAAUGGUGCUGAAAAGAAUAUAAAAAGUAAAUCAUUAGACCUAGAAAAUGGGUCAUACCUUUAU